Molecule: ribosomal RNA, 775 nt
Filed under: uncultured Neocallimastigales
Lineage: Eukaryota; Fungi; Neocallimastigomycota; Neocallimastigomycetes; Neocallimastigales
Description: partial large subunit ribosomal RNA
Rfam family: Eukaryotic large subunit ribosomal RNA
Source: RNAcentral
GUAGUCUCGCACAGAUGCAUAUCAAUAAGCGGAGGAAAAGAAACUAACAAGGAUUCCCCUAGUAACGGCGAGUGAAGCGGGAAGAGCUCAAAUUUGAAAUCUUAAAGGGUUUCCCUUUACGAAUUGUAGUUUAAAGAAGUGUUUUCUGUUGAGGUUUUGGUAAAAGUUCUUUGGAAUAGGACAUCAUAGAGGGUGAGAAUCCCGUAUUUGACCUUUACUUUCAACUUUGUGAUACACUUUCAAAGAGUCGGAUUGUUUGGGAAUGCAGUCCAAAAUGGGUGGUAAAUUUCAUCUAAAGCUAAAUAUUGGCGAGAGACCGAUAGCGAACAAGUACCGUGAGGGAAAGAUGAAAAGAACUUUGAAAAGAGAGUUAAACAGUACGUGAAAUUGUCAAAAGGGAAGCGUUUGACACCAGUGUUGUUUUUCUGAAAAUCAAUUAAAGAACUGUUUAUGCUAAGCUUGUUUAGACUUUAUCAGCUAACUGUUUAGUUUUGAGCUUUUCUUUAAUGCACUUUUCAGUUAACAAGUCAACAUCAAUUUCUUUUGCUGUAAAAAAGCUUGAGGAAGGUGGCUUGAGAUUCGUCUUAAGUGUUUAUAGCCUCUUGCCUAUGCAGUCGGAGAGAUUGAGGUCUGCAGCGUAGAUCCUUCGGGGCUAAAUGCAUUUGUGCUAAGUUAUAGCAUUUUAUAGACAACUUGUUGACUAUGAUUUGUCUUGUAGCUUACUCGCUUAUGUUAUUUUACCUACGCUUAGGAUGUUGACGCAUGAGAUAUACGC